Long non-coding RNA from Carya illinoinensis, 1269 nucleotides. RefSeq lists it as uncharacterized. The transcript is spliced from 2 exons. NCBI's taxonomy places the organism in Eukaryota, Viridiplantae, Streptophyta, Magnoliopsida, Fagales, Juglandaceae. The record is from RefSeq and is a predicted model, not a curated record.
AUCACGAAACCCUAUUGAAUUCUAAAUAAAGUAUGUUAUCCGCAGCUCAAAGAAGCUAAAAGGAAAAGAGUGAGCUAACUGCAGAUCGGGCAACAUGACCGGCAACGGCAGCCAAAACUCCGGCCGAGGAAAUCCGACACCCCACCCGGCCCCUUCUUUUACCAAGCUCCCUCCAAGGCGAGGCUCGGUCAUGCUGAAUAUGACCGUUGGUACUGGGGCGUCCGCCAAGCCCAGUACUUCGUCUGCUUCCUCAAGGCAAAAUAAUUAAUGGGAUUUCAUUUCCGAUUUUCUGAUGAUGAUGAUCAAGUUGCUUUGGGUUGUUUGUAAGGUUCUGGUACUGGUGAUGUAAUAUUCGGUUAUAGUAUUUUAUCUAAAGGUUGCUUCUGCUUAAUUUCUAUGAACUGCACCUAUAUAUAUUUGUGUGUGUGUGUGUGUUUGCUUUGUCUGUCUGAUGAUGCAGAUUCAUAUUAUGGUAACCCCAGCCUCGUGUGCUGAAAGAACAACUUCAGGUCAUUACUCUCUGUGAGAGUCUCUCCCUUUUUCCCCCUUCUGUCCAGCUUUGAAAUUCAGAUCUACAUUCAUCGAUCGACAAUGGCCACGUCACGGCCAUGUCCGUACGUCCAACCUUUAAACUGCCUUCUUCACGCUUCAUUUUGCCUCAUCGGACUCAUGUAUCGGUCUUUGUUAAAUGUCUCUUUUACUUUGCAUGGUCAGAACCCUAGAUCUGAUGUCCCUGCUGCAGGACAUCAGGGACAUCAGAUCUAGGGUUCUGAUGUCGUAGGUAGGCUGUAGCUGCAGUACGUAUAUACAUCAUCUUCAUCAUCAGAAGUUACUGAUCUCGUAUACGCCGCACACAAGUAAGUACAGAUCAUCUCCGAUCCAUGCUCUCUUCCCGGCCGGCGACCCCAUUGUUGUAGCUGCACAAGUGCUCCCCAAAACAUCAUGAUUUCUCAAUACAAAUUAAGCGAACCUUACAUAGAAUGAAGGCAUUAGACAAUGGCCUAACUGGACUUACCAUUAAGCCGGCUCUUAUUUCCUGCAAUCUUUCAUGCUGUGGUCAAUCGGUAGCUGUACGUAAGUGAUGAAGAAGCCAUAUUUAGGUGCGCUAAACCUGGAAGUCGACGUUAUUAUUGAUCAUGAUCCAUUUUCGGCAGGUUGUAAUUUUCAUUUUUCAGUGCUAUACAUAUUGCGGGGUAGUAUUAAUGGAACCCUAGUAUCCAUCCUGCUGUAUGUUAUCUUCAAGUUUUUAUUAAUAAAAAUAGUUUGAUA